This 104-nucleotide microRNA precursor is filed under the name Marmota monax (woodchuck). The record is from RNAcentral. Lineage: Eukaryota; Metazoa; Chordata; Mammalia; Rodentia; Sciuridae.
AGUGGAACAGGUGGGUCAUAUGGUGAUUCCAUUCCUAGUUUUUUUGAGGAGUCUCCACACUGCUCUCCAGAGUAGAUGUACUAAUUUGCACUCCCACCAACAAU